AGCAAAGACGCCCGCUUCCCGGAACCGAGGACGGGGACAGAAGAACAACGCCCUCCCCAUAACCCUCCCCUUCCCGAUUCUGCAUUGUGGGGCCUCAGGCUGCACGAUCGUCAUAACCUUGAGAGAGCAGCCUGGCGGGCGGGGUUGCUGAGCCUGUGAUCAGUGCCAGGGAAGAAAGGUGUUUUGUCACCCCGAAAGAUGACGAUAUAAAAGGGAUUCAGCCUACAUUUUCCCUUAGAUUUUGGAUUCAGUUUGGGCUGGUGGACACUGGAACUGACGUAACGGUGAUUCGUGAUCCGGAGUGGCCGGACCGUUGUGGGUUCCGGCCCGGUGUGUGCGACAAGCACUGAAACAGCAUGGCGUGGCACCAGGGGCUGUCGAACCCCAUACCGGAGUUUCAGCUGACCUUGGAGGAGAACACGGUGCCUCCCGGGUCGACAAUGGCGGUACGGAGACGAAGGAGGCGUAGCGUCCCAAGCCAGCCCGUGACAUGGGGAGCAGUAAAAGCAUUGGUCGCCGCAGCUCAAUGAAGACUGGCAGCAAACCAACAGCCAGAGACUCCUGAGACUCUGUUUGUGGCAAUUCUCGCCCAAAUUACUGCUAAUUCUGUAUUGAUUGUAUGCCUUUUGUGCCUGCUGUUUCCUGUAGGGGUUGGCUCAGGAGCGCUUCCUCCGUUACGGGCCCAAAUGACAUAUAACCUAUGGGAAAGAUUGGCUUCAAUAGUAAAUGUUACCCACUUUUGUUUAUUUGAUUUGUAGCAGCUGAAGAAUUGUUAGGUACGUGCCUUAUUCCAGUAUGUUGUCACCCUGAGGAAAUUGGGAAUGAGAUGAUGCUCGCUGCUUACGCGAACCUCUCUUCCCAGUACUCUAGCAUGGCUAAUUGGGGCCCGGCCAAUUACACUUUACCUUCUUAAGCUUAUUUUUUGCUGUUGCCGUGUGCAAUGUAUUUCCUUUUUGUUAAGGCUUUGUCGAGACCCGCCCUGGCAGGCUCGACGAGUUAUGACCUUGUCUGUCGGGGAGUUAAUUGGCUUGCAGAAGCAAAUUGAUGGCUACCAUGAGAUGGCCGAGCACAAAUAAACAAAAAAGGAGGGGAUGUAGGAUUCAUACAAGGUUCAUGCGCUUGGCAACAUUCAGGGCACACCCAGAGUGUUGUGUAGGAGCUGUGCACACACAGCUCCUCUCAAGGGCAUGAACCUUGGAAUCUCGCCCAGAUGACAUGAACCGUGGGAAGCCUCCCAGGACUGGGCUCAAGGCCCGAGAGCAAGGAAUGUGGUAGAUAGAAAUUGAUAAAUAAGAAUGUUAAACAAAGCCAGUGUAUUCCUUUUAUCGGUUGGAGAAUGUAAUGCGCGCGGGGAGAGAAAGAAUAAAGGAGAGGGUGGAAAGCUGACAGGCCCAGUCCGUUGGCAGACCAGCCU
Caretta caretta (loggerhead turtle) is the source of this 1414-nucleotide long non-coding RNA. RefSeq lists it as uncharacterized. The record is from RefSeq and is a predicted model, not a curated record. Lineage: Eukaryota; Metazoa; Chordata; Testudines; Cheloniidae.